Long non-coding RNA from Lathyrus oleraceus (garden pea), 225 nucleotides. RefSeq lists it as uncharacterized. The record is from RefSeq and is a predicted model, not a curated record. Lineage: Eukaryota; Viridiplantae; Streptophyta; Magnoliopsida; Fabales; Fabaceae. The transcript is spliced from 2 exons.
CCAUAGUCAAAUUAUAAUCAAUUUUUGAUUGAAAUACAGUUCUGAAACAUGUACUGAAACCACACACCCUCUAAGAUCAUGCAUAGAUAAUCCUUAUCUCUAAUAUUUCUCAAAUCUGCGGUUCACAAAGCUGCUUUUGAGGUGUUUGAUGAAAUGCAGCACUCAAAUGAAUCACUAACGAUCAUGUGUUUUUUAUUAAACAGUUGAACGUGACUUAUUAGUACA